AGUGAACGCUAGCGGCGCGCCUGACACAUACAAGUCGAGUGGGUUUAGACCCACGGCAAACGGCUGCGUAACACGUUGGAACCUUCCCCGAACUCAGGGAUAACCCUCCGAAAGGAGGAGUAAUACCGGAUAGUCCCGAAAGGGUAAAGAUUUAUCGGUUCGUGAGGGGCCUGCGGCCUAUCAGCUAGUUGGUGAGGUAACGGCUCACCAAGGCAAUGACGGGUAGCUGAUCUGAGAGGAUGGUCAGCCAGAAUGGAACUGCGACACGGUCCAU
This 274-nucleotide ribosomal RNA is filed under the name uncultured bacterium. RNAcentral describes it as "partial 16S ribosomal RNA". It matches the Rfam family "Bacterial small subunit ribosomal RNA", at positions 29 to 334 of the family's 1533-position model. The record is from RNAcentral.